This 1485-nucleotide long non-coding RNA is filed under the name Oreochromis niloticus (Nile tilapia). RNAcentral's name for it is "lncRNA (ENSONIG00000041362.1)". Lineage: Eukaryota; Metazoa; Chordata; Actinopteri; Cichliformes; Cichlidae. The record is from RNAcentral.
AUGAAUAUUCCUUCCAUCUCUAUUGUCAGCGUGCCAGAAGAACAGGAUGAUACAACUUGUAACCAAGAAGAACACGGUACUGCUGAUAAAACUCUCAGCCAGCCAUUGGUGCUUGUAAGCGAGGUGACCGACAUGUGUGCCGACAGUACUGCAAACCCAGAUGAAAAAAGCUCUACCUCCAGUAAAGAUGAUAAAAUUAUUGCUGAGAGUCUGUUUGAAAAUGCUAACCCAACAUCUUCUGGAGAAUUAAUGGAUCUAGAAAAUCAGCAUUUAAAUGAUAUAAAUGAACACGAUCUAUCAUCAAAUGAACACAUGCAAGGUCAGAUUGAUAUAAGUGAAGAUGGCGACAAAUGCGAGCCUCCUCUUGAUGAUUCUCAGGGAGAAACUAACUUUUCUACAGAGGCUGAAACUCAUAUAGUGGAUACUGAGCGUGCUGUAAAUUCUACUGAUCCACCUGAUGGACACGAGAGCAAAUUAGCUGACACCUUUUGUAGCAGCGACAUAGCCAACACGCAGCUCAGUACACUGGAUCCAUUCAACACCGAGCCAAGUGAUGAGAUAGGGACGCUGCGCUCUGAACCAGCUACCGUGUCCAGAAACAUGGACCUUUUGUUUUAUACAGACUUUGAUCGAGGUUCUCCAACAGAGGAUCUGGUUGGUGACCCUGUGGAGCCCAUGGAUCUGUUCUACCCUGACAAAGAAGAGCUCAUGUUUACAGAGCAACCUGACACUGAAGCGCAGACCUGGCCCUCUGUUUUGAGUGUCUCUGCUCUGCAGCCAGCACCACCUUCAGACAUUCUGCCAGAUGACCAACAAUUCGAUCCGCUGGGUGAAGACUUCAGGGAAGUGGACUUGAUACAGGAGCACGAUAAGGUGAUCACAAAGGCCACCCAAGAGACAAAGAAUGUAUUUGGAUCCCAGCAGCAUUGCUUGUUGCCUGGAGUGAAGCUAUGUAAGCCCUUAGGAGAUGCUGAUGUUCUAGCAGACAGGAGGGAUCCCAGUGAGGCUGAGCAACAGAAGCCAGUCUCUGCCAGGGAAAACACAGAGCCUGUGAGGAGCAGUGCAGGUUCCAGCAAACAAGGUGAAAGCCAUAUCCCACCAGUUCUCCGUCACAGAAAGGGGGCUCAUUGCCCUGAGUCAGUGGUGAGUUUGAUGCUCCUUUCCCUCCCACAGUGAUGUUAAAACAUUGAGUACCACUGUAUAUUGAGAGUGUGUGACUGGCAUUUUCACAGGACAGUCAGAGAGCUGUAACUGCAAAAGCUGACGGCGAUGACUCUGAUUUUUGGUAAGAGCAUUUCCUUCCCUGAUUUAGUUGUUUGUAACACUCGAGCCUUUAACUGUGAUGUAGGUUCACCAUGUUGCUAGGUUUAUAACAGUAGCUGCUGACUUGAGGUAACUUCUAAUUAUGUUAUUGUGAGCAAACAGCACUUAAGUUAGAUUAAUACGUGGCACAGGAAGGACGGACGUCUUCAUUUCUCUGCAUCU